GACAGUAUAGCUCAGUGGUAGAGUGCAUGCCUAGCAUGCACAAGAUCCUGGGUUCAAUUCCCUAGUCCCUUCA
Molecule: transfer RNA, 73 nt
Filed under: Camelus bactrianus (Bactrian camel)
Lineage: Eukaryota; Metazoa; Chordata; Mammalia; Artiodactyla; Camelidae
Also listed under: 2 other names
Rfam family: tRNA
About the family: Transfer RNA (tRNA) molecules are approximately 80 nucleotides in length. Their secondary structure includes four short double-helical elements and three loops (D, anti-codon, and T loops).
Source: Rfam by way of RNAcentral